UUCUCUUCCCGCCCACGAUAACGUCCCAUUCCUCCAGUCUCCAUAACCUGUAAAAAUAUCCUCGAACUUUAAUCCAUCCGGCCAUCUUCAUUUUUGUUUUCUCGUGCAGCCUAAUCCAUUCGAAAAUGAGAGUAUGGAUCAAUCUCUACCGUCCUGUAGUUCCCCCUUUAGUCCUAUUGUUCCUCUCCCCGGUGUAUCUCCUUGCCGAUGCACAGUCUGGCAGUACAGAAUCAAUGUACAGUCCUUACGGACCAGACGCCAAUUUCAACCAGUCGAUGGCGGUUGUCGUCGUGUUCCUCAUGGUGGCCUUCUUCCUCAUGGCUUUCUUUUCCAUCUACAUCCGGGAGUGCCUUGAGUCAAACGCCGCCGCCCCCCACAACAACGGUCUGGUGAUCACCACCAGCCAGCCAAGCCACCACGGUCUCGACCGUGCCGUGAUUGAGACCUUCCCGAUCUUCGUCUAUUCCAAGGUUAAGGAUCUGAAGAUCGGUAAAGGAGCGCUCGAGUGCGCGGUGUGCUUGAGCGAGUUCGAAGACGACGAAAUGCUGCGUUUGUUGCCCAGAUGCUACCAUGUUUUCCAUCCCGAUUGCAUUGACGCCUGGCUAGCUUCUCACGUUACGUGCCCGGUCUGCAGAGCUAAGCUUGAAUUCGCAUGCGAAGCACCGCAAUCGAGUACCGACUCGACCGACUGUUCGAAUCAAGAUGACAACCCGAGCGCAGAAGUAGUACCAGUCGAGAUGCGAAACGAGCAGGUUUCGAUUGAUAUUAACGAUGAUAACAGCACGGUCGAGAUCGCGAACUGUCCUUCGAGGACGAGAAUAUCAGGGAAGUUCCCGAGGUCGCACUCGACGGGUCACUCACUGGUUCAACCCGGAGAGAACACGGAGAGAUACACACUGAGAUUGCCAGAGGAGAUGAGGAAGCAGAUGAUUCUAGUAAGUGGGAACCUGAGGCGGUCGAGUAGCUACGAUGUCGUUUUGGGAAGUAUAGGCAGUAGUAGAGGGAAGAACGGCAGUGUGGACCGGCAGGUUGGAGCGUCGGACCGGUGGGUGGUGUCAGUGACGCCGCCGUUUGUAUCGAGGGGUGGCUCCGUGAAGUCUCCAAAGUUAGGCGGGGAGGGAAACGUGACGAGUACUGGAAAGACCUUCUUGACGUCGGUUAAAGACGCCGUUAGAUCGUCUUUAGCGUGAAGACAGAGGGAGGGCAAGAAAAAGAUCAUCCGUCGGUCCCGUCUCAGGACAUAUCCCAACAAAAUAUACGCUGGUAGAGUUGAGGUGACGUUUGGAUAAUCAUUAAUACAGGAGAGUAUACUUUUGAGGGUUUAUCUAACAUGGCAUUACUACAGUGCAUGGAAACUGCUUGGGACAGAUUUGUAAAAGGGUCCCAAACAAUGGAUGUUGGUGGCUAUAGGAAAGAUCUAACAACUUUGGGUGCUCUCCAGCGAGGUUCCUAACAGUCUUGGAAAAAAAAUUAUGUCGGCUUUUACUUGGCAAAAGUGAUUAAGAUAGUGAUUUCUUGUUUCUCCAUGGUUUCUUAUUUUUAGAAAGAUUCAAUGGAAGAGUCUAUUGAGAUAGUGAUUGAGAAGUUGCUUCAUGUUACAAAAGAUUUAGAACCAGAUUGGUGUAAUGGAGUAUUUUGACUAUUAAAGUUUCAUCAUUAGUGUUUGUGUUCCUUUUCUGAUGAUGUUAUGAUGGUAUUCUUCUAACGCCAAGCUAUUUUUGCUGGUCUAUCUUCCUCAGCCAAAUUUUCCUCAUUAUGGCUUUCAGUAUAUUUACUCUGCCAUUUUUUAGAUCUGGUUUCAACCCAGUAUUUUGAGUGGCUAAUGUUUCGGAUAGAGGAUUUUGACAAGAUUGGAAGUGAAGACAAGUGGACAGUUUGUAAGGGUGUUGCAGUGAAGCUGGUGGCAUAUCUUGUGUUACUAUAGUUUGUCAAUAUUACUUUCACUAGGCCAUUGUAGGAUGUUCUUCGAAAUGGAGUGAAAAUUUGUUUGUAAAUGAAAUUGAUGGCUAAUGAAAUAGUCAUUAUCAGGUGUUCAGUGUAUUGAUUAUAAAUGAAAUCUAAGAGUUUUCAAUAAA
Molecule: RNA transcript, 2075 nt
Organism: Carya illinoinensis
Lineage: Eukaryota; Viridiplantae; Streptophyta; Magnoliopsida; Fagales; Juglandaceae
Gene name: E3 ubiquitin-protein ligase ATL31-like
Exons: 5
Source: RefSeq, a predicted model, not a curated record